ACCAGGUCUUGACAUCCGAUGCUAUUCUAGAGAUAGAAAGUUACUUCGGUACAUCGGUGACAGGUGGUGCAUGGUUGUCGUCAGCUCGUGUCGUGAGAUGUUGGGUUAAGUCCCGUAACGAGCGCAACCCUUGUCCUUAGUUACCAGCACGGUUAUGGUGGGCACUCUAAGGAGACUGCCGGUGACAAACCGGAGGAAGGUGGGGAUGACGUCAAGUCAUCAUGGCCCUUACGGCCUGGGCUACACACGUGCUACAAUGGUCGGUACAAAGGGUUGCCAAGCCGCGAGGUGGAGCUAAUCCCAUAAACCGAUCGUAGUCCGGAUCGCAGUCUGCAACUCGACUGCGUGAAGUCGGAAUCGCUAGUAAUCGUGAAUCAGAAUGUCACGGUGAAUACGUUCCCGGGCCUU
This 408-nucleotide ribosomal RNA is filed under the name uncultured Pseudomonas sp. RNAcentral describes it as "bacterial SSU rRNA". It matches the Rfam family "Bacterial small subunit ribosomal RNA", at positions 973 to 1382 of the family's 1533-position model. The record is from RNAcentral. Lineage: Bacteria; Pseudomonadati; Pseudomonadota; Gammaproteobacteria; Pseudomonadales; Pseudomonadaceae.